GGAGGAAAAGAAACUAACAAGGAUUCCCCUAGUAACGGCGAGUGAAGCGGGAUGAGCUCAAGCUUAAAAUCUCCGUGCAAUUUUUGCACGGCGAAUUGUAGUCUAUAGAGGCGUGGUCAGUAUAAGCACUUGGGGUAAGUUCCUUGGAAAAGGACAGCAUGGAGGGUGAUACUCCCGUUCAUCUCUAAGUUGCUUGUGCGUACGACCCGUUUUCUUUGAGUCGCGUUGUUUGAGAAUGCAGCGCAAAGUAGGUGGUAAAUUCCAUCUAAAGCUAAAUAUUGGUGCGAGACCGAUAGCAAACAAGUACCGUGAGGGAAAGAUGAAAAGAACUUUGAAAAUAGAGUUAAAGAGUACCUGAAACUGCUGAAAGGGAACCAAAUCGUUUCCAGUGUCUAUAAUCCGUGGUAUAUUUCAUUGGCGAGUGUGUGCGUGCGUGUGCUGUUGCAGUGGCUUUUUGGCUGCGCUCGGUGUGUGUGCUGUGUGUACUUGCUGGUGCCCUGUGCUGCGGUGGGACGUCAAGGUCAGUUCGUAUGCUGCGGGAAAUGGCUACUGAGGAGGUAGGGCUUACGCUUGCGUUUGUCUGUUAUAUCUUGGUGGACGAGUCGUCGCGGUUGGGACUGAGGUGCCUACAACGUGCUUUUGAGUGGGCUUGGGUCUCCGUGUGCGCCGUGUGCGGAUAGCUUGCUAUGCGUGUGUGGUUGUAUGUGGAUUGAUGCGAGCCGUAACU
RNAcentral lists this ribosomal RNA (727 nucleotides) under Plasmopara obducens. RNAcentral's name for it is "LSU rRNA". It matches the Rfam family "Eukaryotic large subunit ribosomal RNA", at positions 52 to 631 of the family's 3401-position model. Lineage: Eukaryota; Oomycota; Peronosporomycetes; Peronosporales; Peronosporaceae. The record is from RNAcentral.